Molecule: long non-coding RNA, 1049 nt
Organism: Neofelis nebulosa (Clouded leopard)
Lineage: Eukaryota; Metazoa; Chordata; Mammalia; Carnivora; Felidae
Exons: 3
Source: RefSeq, a predicted model, not a curated record
GCGUGACCGGCUGACUACCGGAUCAGAAUUCUCAGAAAGCUUACUAAAGUGAAAACCCGAGCCACGCGAAAUCCAGCGCGUCAGUGUCGGCCAGGAUAUCCAGUUCCAAAGCCUGGCCUGGGCUUCCCAUGGAGCACAGAGAAGAGCCACGGGUGAAGGGACUGCAGAAUUUCAAAGAAAUGAGACAAGGAUUUGGCUUCAAGAUGAGGUUUUAAGAUCAGGAGAGAAGAUAAAGAAGCUUCUUCAAAGCAGAAAAAACCUGGAAACUCUGCAUCCACUCACUGUAACUUUAGGGGGGAAUGCUCUCCAAGGGUCUACUUUACAAAAAAGACUAAAAACCUUUAGAAAACCAAUGUGGAAAUCCUAAGACUUAGCAGAACUUACAGAGCAUCCAACCACUCUAUAGGAAGAAAGCCCUGAGAACUCCAACCAGGAAGAACCUCUCAACAUUAGAUUCUCUGAGCACCAGGGGACUCAUUCAGGAAAAGAACCUCACCGGUGCCUCGGUUGUGGGCAAAGCUCCCUUCGUGCAGACUUUUGUAAACGCUAACAUCUCCCAUCAGAGGAGAGAUCCUGUGAAUGUACUACAUCUUAUGGAAAGCAGUGUGACUGUGUUUUAAGAAAAUUAAAAUUUGGGGGUGCCUGGGUGGCUCCAUCGGUUAAGUGUCUGAUAUCAGCUCAGGUCAUGGUCUUGCGGUCGUGAUAUGGAGCCCUGAGUCAGGCUCCAUGCUAAGCGUGGAGCCUGCGUGGGAUUCUCCCACUACCUGUCUGUCUCCCUGCCCCUCCCCCACUCAUGCUCUCUUUAUCUCUCAAAAUAAAUAAAUAAACUUAAAGGAAGCUUAAAAUGUUUCUCCUCUUCAUUUUUUUUAAAGUUUAUUUAUUUAUUUUUGAGAGACUGAGCGAGUGGAGAGGGGCAGAGAGAGGGAGGGAGAGAGAGUCCCAAGCAGGCUCCGCACUGCCAGGGUGGAGCCUGAUGCAGGGCUUGAAGCCAUGAACUUCAAGAUCAUGACCUGAGCCAAAGUCAGAUACCUAACUGACUGAGUCACCCA